UGCGCAGGCGGCCGGGUGUGUCGGGUGUGAAAGCUCGAGGCUUAACCUCGAAACUGCGCCCGAAACUAUCCGGCUAGAGUACUGGAGAGGGAAGCGGAAUUCACGGUGUAGCAGUGAAAUGCGUAGAUAUCGUGAGGAACACCAAUGGCGAAGGCAGCUUCCUGGACAGUUACUGACGCUCAGGCACGAAAGCGUGGGGAGCAAAAGGGAUUAGAUACCCCUGUAGUCCACGCCCUAAACGGUGCAUACUAGGUGUUGGCGGAAUCGACCCCGCCAGUGCCCAAGCUAACGCGAUAAGUAUGCCGCCUGAGGACUACGGCCGCAAGGCUAAA
This 332-nucleotide ribosomal RNA is filed under the name uncultured Alterococcus sp. Its description in RNAcentral is "bacterial SSU rRNA". It matches the Rfam family "Bacterial small subunit ribosomal RNA", at positions 568 to 898 of the family's 1533-position model. Lineage: Bacteria; Pseudomonadati; Verrucomicrobiota; Opitutia; Opitutales; Alterococcaceae. The record is from RNAcentral.